GCGGACAUAGCUCAGUUGGUAGAGCGCAACCUUGCCAAGGUUGAGGUCGCGAGUUCGAGUCUCGUUGUCCGCUCCA
RNAcentral lists this transfer RNA (76 nucleotides) under Nocardioides daphniae. RNAcentral's name for it is "tRNA-Gly". It matches the Rfam family "tRNA". From Rfam's summary of the family: Transfer RNA (tRNA) molecules are approximately 80 nucleotides in length. Their secondary structure includes four short double-helical elements and three loops (D, anti-codon, and T loops). Further hydrogen bonds mediate the characteristic L-shaped molecular structure. tRNAs have two regions of fundamental functional importance: the anti-codon, which is responsible for specific mRNA codon recognition, and the 3' end, to which the tRNAs corresponding amino acid is attached (by aminoacyl-tRNA synthetases). tRNAs cope with the degeneracy of the genetic code in two manners: having more than one tRNA (with a specific anti-codon) for a particular amino acid; and 'wobble' base-pairing, i.e. permitting non-standard base-pairing at the 3rd anti-codon position. Lineage: Bacteria; Bacillati; Actinomycetota; Actinomycetes; Propionibacteriales; Nocardioidaceae. The record is from RNAcentral. RNAcentral also lists the same sequence under 1 other name.